RNAcentral lists this small nuclear RNA (320 nucleotides) under Octodon degus (degu). RNAcentral's name for it is "7SK RNA (ENSODEG00000024506.1)". It matches the Rfam family "7SK RNA". Rfam says of the family: 7SK was discovered as an abundant small nuclear RNA in the mid-70s but a possible function has only recently been suggested. Two independent studies have found that 7SK RNA binds the CDK9/cyclin T complex (known as elongation factor P-TEFb). P-TEFb activates transcription by phosphorylating the C-terminal domain of RNA polymerase II. Lineage: Eukaryota; Metazoa; Chordata; Mammalia; Rodentia; Octodontidae. The record is from RNAcentral.
GGAUGUGAGGGCGAUCUGGCUGUGACAUGUCACCCCAUCGAUCGCCAGGGUUGAUUCGGCUGAUCCGGCUGGCUAGGUGGAUGUCCCCUUCCUCCCUCAACAACCCAUGUGUGUCCCCCCCAAAGCUGCACACUCAGUUGAAGAGGAUGACCACCCGAUAGAGGAGGACCAUUCCGCAGUCGGGUGUACGAGCAGCUGCAUGCCCCUGCUAGAACCUCCAAACAAGCUCUCUAAAGAGGGUGUCUUUCUUUGAGUGAACGUUUGGCCCCUUUGUCAAAGGUAAGAGACUGAGAGUGUGUGUGGCCGUAUGCGCAUCUUCU